This is a non-coding RNA of Datura stramonium (jimsonweed), 75 nucleotides long. The record is from the annotation of a GenBank genome assembly. Lineage: Eukaryota; Viridiplantae; Streptophyta; Magnoliopsida; Solanales; Solanaceae.
GCCGUCUUAGCCUUAGCGCAGUAGAGCGCGUGGUUUUUAACCACGUGGUCGUGGGUCUGAUCCUUACAGACGGCG